RNAcentral lists this ribosomal RNA (231 nucleotides) under uncultured bacterium. Its description in RNAcentral is "partial 16S ribosomal RNA". It matches the Rfam family "Bacterial small subunit ribosomal RNA", at positions 524 to 755 of the family's 1533-position model. The record is from RNAcentral.
UACAGAGGGGCAAGCGUUGUUCGGAAUUACUGGGCGUAAAGGGCGCGUAGGCGGCCUUCUAAGUCGAACGUGAAAUCCCCGGGCUCAACCCGGGAACUGCGUCCGAUACUGGAAGGCUUGAAUCCGGGAGAGGGAUGCGGAAUUCCAGGUGUAGCGGUGAAAUGCGUAGAUAUCUGGAGGAACACCGGUGGCGAAGGCGGCGCUCUGGACCGAGACUGACGCUGAGGCGCG